This 490-nucleotide ribosomal RNA is filed under the name uncultured bacterium. Its description in RNAcentral is "partial 16S ribosomal RNA". It matches the Rfam family "Bacterial small subunit ribosomal RNA", at positions 30 to 507 of the family's 1533-position model. The record is from RNAcentral.
AUUGAACGCUGGCGGCAGGCCUAACACAUGCAAGUCGAACGGUAACAGGAAGCAGCUUGCUGCUUUGCUGACGAGUGGCGGACGGGUGAGUAAUGUCUGGGAAACUGCCUGAUGGAGGGGGAUAACUACUGGAAACGGUAGCUAAUACCGCAUAACGUCGCAAGACCAAAGAGGGGGACCUUCGGGCCUCUUGCCAUCGGAUGUGCCCAGAUGGGAUUAGCUAGUAGGUGGGGUAACGGCUCACCUAGGCGACGAUCCCUAGCUGGUCUGAGAGGAUGACCAGCCACACUGGAACUGAGACACGGUCCAGACUCCUACGGGAGGCAGCAGUGGGGAAUAUUGCACAAUGGGCGCAAGCCUGAUGCAGCCAUGCCGCGUGUAUGAAGAAGGCCUUCGGGUUGUAAAGUACUUUCAGCGGGGAGGAAGGGAGUAAAGUUAAUACCUUUGCUCAUUGACGUUACCCGCAGAAGAAGCACCGGCUAACUCCGCG